RNAcentral lists this ribosomal RNA (253 nucleotides) under uncultured bacterium. RNAcentral describes it as "partial 16S ribosomal RNA". It matches the Rfam family "Bacterial small subunit ribosomal RNA", at positions 524 to 776 of the family's 1533-position model. The record is from RNAcentral.
GACGGAGGAUGCUAGCGUUGUUCGGAAUUACUGGGCGUAAAGGCCGCGUAGGCGGCCUCUUAAGUCGGGUGUGAAAGCCCGGGGCUCAACCCCGGAACGGCACCGGAGACUGCGGUGCUGGAGACCGGAAGAGGUGAGUUGAAUACCCAGUGUAGAGGUGAAAUUCGUAGAUAUUGGGUGGAACACCGGUGGCGAAAGCGGAUCACUGGUCCGGUUCUGACGCUGAGGCGCGAAAGCGUGAGGAGCAAACAGG